AACCAGAAAUUCUCUCACACCCUCUCCCUUUCUCCAGAAACCGGCCAAGGGCCCGGCCGUUGACCGCCGGAGCCGCGCGCGGCGGCGGGGAGACCAAAAGUCUCCUUUUCUCCGCCGAAUGGUCUCCUCGUCCUCCUGAUCGCUCCGACGUCGGUAAAAGAGGGUGAUUUGAUGGCACAAGUGGGCGACGUGGGACGUGCGGCGGUGGCAGAGCGGCGGCCAGCAAGUGGACGACCCUAGGUGCGGCGCACCUAGGGUUAGGGUUACAUUUUUUUGUUGUUUUCUGAUUUGGGCUAGGUUUGGGUAUUUGGGCUGAGGGUUAGUGGGUUAGGCUAGUUGGGUAUUGGGUUGCUGAUUUGGGCUUUGGUUUUGGUGUGGUUAGGCUUGUAUUUGGGCCUGGGUAGUUGGGCUUGGUUUAGUUUGUUGGGUUUGGGUUGGUUGUUUAAAAUGGGCCUGUACAAUAUAUUUUUUAAUUUAUGAUAUUAGUUUUUAUUAAA
Long non-coding RNA from Gossypium raimondii (Peruvian cotton), 497 nucleotides. RefSeq lists it as uncharacterized. The transcript is spliced from 2 exons. The record is from RefSeq and is a predicted model, not a curated record. NCBI's taxonomy places the organism in Eukaryota, Viridiplantae, Streptophyta, Magnoliopsida, Malvales, Malvaceae.